This 498-nucleotide ribosomal RNA is filed under the name uncultured bacterium. Its description in RNAcentral is "partial 16S ribosomal RNA". It matches the Rfam family "Bacterial small subunit ribosomal RNA", at positions 30 to 523 of the family's 1533-position model. The record is from RNAcentral.
AUUGAACGCUGGCGGCAUGCCUUACACAUGCAAGUCGAACGGUAACGGGCCUUCGGGUGCCGACGAGUGGCGAACGGGUGAGUAAUGCAUCGGAACGUACCUUUCAGUGGGGGAUAACGUAGCGAAAGUUACGCUAAUACCGCAUAUUCUGUGAGCAGGAAAGCAGGGGAUCGCAAGACCUUGCGCUGAUUGAGCGGCCGAUGUCAGAUUAGCUAGUUGGUGAGGUAAAGGCUCACCAAGGCGACGAUCUGUAGCGGGUCUGAGAGGAUGAUCCGCCACACUGGGACUGAGACACGGCCCAGACUCCUACGGGAGGCAACAGUGGGGAAUUUUGGACAAUGGGGGCAACCCUGAUCCAGCCAUGCCGCGUGAGUGAAGAAGGCCUUCGGGUUGUAAAGCUCUUUCGGCCGGGAAGAAAUCGCACAGGCUAAUACCUUGUGUGGAUGACGGUACCGGAAUAAGAAGCACCGGCUAACUACGUGCCAGCAGCCGCCGUAA